Molecule: ribosomal RNA, 809 nt
Filed under: Staphylococcus sp. KSUM_43
Lineage: Bacteria; Bacillati; Bacillota; Bacilli; Caryophanales; Staphylococcaceae
Description: bacterial SSU rRNA
Rfam family: Bacterial small subunit ribosomal RNA
Source: RNAcentral
AGGAUGAACGCUGGCGGCGUGCCUAAUACAUGCAAGUCGAGCGAACAGACGAGGAGCUUGCUCCUUUGACGUUAGCGGCGGACGGGUGAGUAACACGUGGGUAACCUACCUAUAAGACUGGGAUAACUUCGGGAAACCGGAGCUAAUACCGGAUAAUAUUUCGAACCGCAUGGUUCGAUAGUGAAAGAUGGCUUUGCUAUCACUUAUAGAUGGACCUGCGCCGUAUUAGCUAGUUGGUAAGGUAACGGCUUACCAAGGCAACGAUACGUAGCCGACCUGAGAGGGUGAUCGGCCACACUGGAACUGAGACACGGUCCAGACUCCUACGGGAGGCAGCAGUAGGGAAUCUUCCGCAAUGGGCGAAAGCCUGACGGAGCAACGCCGCGUGAGUGAUGAAGGUCUUCGGAUCGUAAAACUCUGUUAUUAGGGAAGAACAAACGUGUAAGUAACUGUGCACGUCUUUGACGGUACCUAAUCAGAAAGCCACGGCUAACUACGUGCCAGCAGCCGCGGUUAAUACGUAGGUGGCAAGCGUUAUCCGGGAAUUAUUGGGCGUAAAGCGCGCGUAGGCGGUUUAAGUCUGAUGUGAAAAGCCCACGGCUCAACCGUGGAGGGUCAUUGGAAACUGGAAAACUUGAGUGCAGAAGAGGAAAGUGGAAUUCCAUGUGUAGCGGUGAAAUGCGCAGAGAUAUGGAGGAACACCAGUGGCGAAGGCGACUUUUCUGGUCUGUAACUGAACGCUGAUGUGCGAAAAGCGUGGGGGAUCAAACAGGAUUAGAUACCCUGGUAGUCCACGCCGUAAAACGAUG